AUGUCUCCUGCCUCGCUCGGUCUUCCGCACUCCUCGGUUGAUCUUGAGCUGGAUGCAGCCGCUCCAAACAUAUUUGGACACGCUGUACGAGACAAGAAAAAGGCUUUGCCGCCGACGAUUUUUGAGUACGAUCUUACCUGCAACUCACACGGGUAUCAUCGUAAUUUAUAGUUGGGACAUUC
Aspergillus nidulans FGSC A4 is the source of this 182-nucleotide small nucleolar RNA. The record is from Rfam. NCBI's taxonomy places the organism in Eukaryota, Fungi, Ascomycota, Eurotiomycetes, Eurotiales, Aspergillaceae.